CAGUCGCCACGGUAAUACAGAGGUUGCGAGCGUUAAUCGGAUUUACUGGGCGUAAAGCGUGCGUAGGCGGCUUCUUAAGUCGGAUGUGAAAUCCCUGAGCUUAACUUAGGAAUUGCAUUCGAUACUGGGAAGCUAGAGUAUGGGAGAGGAUGGUAGAAUUCCAGGUGUAGCGGUGAAAUGCGUAGAGAUCUGGAGGAAUACCGAUGGCGAAGGCAGCCAUCUGGCCUAAUACUGACGCUGAGGUACGAAAGCAUGGGGAGCAAACAGGAUUAGAUACCCCUGUAGUCCCUGUCUCUUAUAA
Molecule: ribosomal RNA, 301 nt
Filed under: uncultured bacterium
Lineage: Bacteria
Description: partial 16S ribosomal RNA
Rfam family: Bacterial small subunit ribosomal RNA
Source: RNAcentral